AGGCUGACUGACGGAGGACAUUAACGAGUUAAUUGAACGGGUUGUAGCUGGUCCUCGCAAGAGGGCAUGUGCACACCUGGCUCAUCCACUCUUCAACCUCUGUGCACUUAUUGUAGGUCGGCAGAAGAGUAAGCUUUCGGGCUUGCUUGGAAGCCUUCCUAUGUUUCAUUACAAACGCUUCAGUUUAAGAAUGUAAUCUCUGCGUAUAACGCAAUUAUAUACAACUUUCAGCAACGGAUCUCUUGGCUCUCGCAUCGAUGAAGAACGCAGCGAAAUGCGAUAAGUAAUGUGAAUUGCAGAAUUCAGUGAAUCAUCGAAUUUUUGAACGCACCUUGCGCUCCCUGGUAUUCCGGGGAGCAUGCCUGUUUGAGUGUCAUGGUAUUCUCAACCUUCAUAACUUUUUGUUAUCGAAGGCUUGGAUUUGGAGGCUUGUGCUGGCUUUUGCGAGUCGGCUCCUCUGAAAUGCAUUAGCGUGAGUGUAACGGAUCGCUUCGGUGUGAUAAUUAUCUGCGCCGUGGUCGUGAAGUGACAUAAGCUUGCGCUUCUAGCCGUCCUUCAGUUGGACAAUAUCUUUGACAUCUGACCUCAAAUCAGGUAGGACUACCCGCUGAACUUAAGCAUAUCAAAAGCGGGAAGGA
This 638-nucleotide ribosomal RNA is filed under the name Phanerina mellea. RNAcentral describes it as "eukaryotic LSU rRNA". The stretch from base 223 to 376 matches the Rfam family "5.8S ribosomal RNA". Lineage: Eukaryota; Fungi; Basidiomycota; Agaricomycetes; Polyporales; Phanerochaetaceae. The record is from RNAcentral.